AAGUUAUGCAAGGAUGGAAGACUUCGAAAAAUGACGAAUAACAAUCGUGUGCAUAUAAUAUGUCCAAAUGGCAAGACUGAGUAGAAUACUUGGGAUAUCUUAAAGGUACAAACACUUCUAGAAGUCUUUAUGAAGGUGAAGAAGUUUUAAAUGCUGGUCACAUAAUAAAAAUGUUACAUGUUAUUUGCAUGACUAAUAAACUUUAGUUGAAAGGUUUUUUUA
Molecule: long non-coding RNA, 222 nt
Organism: Harmonia axyridis
Lineage: Eukaryota; Metazoa; Arthropoda; Insecta; Coleoptera; Coccinellidae
Exons: 2
Source: RefSeq, a predicted model, not a curated record